UCGGGAUAUACCUGAAAGCAUGCCUGCUUUGGUGUCUAUU
This 40-nucleotide ribosomal RNA is filed under the name uncultured dinophysoid. Its description in RNAcentral is "partial 5.8S ribosomal RNA". Lineage: Eukaryota; Dinophyceae; Dinophysales; Dinophysaceae. The record is from RNAcentral.